UAGCAUGUUUAUAAGAUUCAUGGCUGGUAGUAGCUAUGGGAUCUUCAACUGCAUGUGAGAAUAAUCUAGGAAGACUUUGACAGCACAGGUCAGCAUAAUACUUGUAGCUGCCCCUCACCUUUCCUGUAUUU
Erinaceus europaeus (western European hedgehog) is the source of this 131-nucleotide non-coding RNA. The record is from Rfam. Lineage: Eukaryota; Metazoa; Chordata; Mammalia; Eulipotyphla; Erinaceidae.